GUGGGGAAUAUUGGACAAUGGGGGAAACCCUGACGCAGCAACGCCGCGUGAGCGAAGAAGGUUUUCGGAUUGUAAAGCUCUGUCUUUAGGGACGAUAAUGACGGUACCUAAGGAGGAAGCCCCGGCUAACUACGUGCCAGCAGCCGCGGUAAUACGUAGGGGGCAAGCGUUGUCCGGAUUCACUGGGCGUAAAGAGCACGUAGGCGGGUAAUUAAGUCAGGUGUGAAAGUUUUCGGCUCAACCGGAAAAGUGCACUUGAAACUGGAUAACUUGAGUAUCGGAGAGGUAAGCGGAAUUCCUAGUGUAGCGGUGAAAUGCGUAGAGAUUAGGAAGAACACCGGUGGCGAAGGCGGCUUGCUGGACGAUAACUGACGCUGAGGUGCGAAAGCGUGGGGAGCGAACAGGAUUAGAUACCCUAGUAGUCC
Molecule: ribosomal RNA, 425 nt
Filed under: uncultured bacterium
Lineage: Bacteria
Description: partial 16S ribosomal RNA
Rfam family: Bacterial small subunit ribosomal RNA
Source: RNAcentral